CUCCUGUGCCCUGCGCUGCCGGUGUCUGGAGAUGGCGGCGGUUGAGCUCCGUGGAAGAGCUGCUCGAUAUCGGCGCCAUCCUGCAGUAGGUCUGCCGAGGUUGCUCCCCGGCUGCCGUCCUCCUGAGAUGCGUUCUGAUGGACCACCCCACCCUCCGAAGGCCGGCUGACCGCCUUUCAUCUGAGGCUAAUCUAUUCUCUUCUUCCAGUAGCUGCGGAGGAUGGCGCUGUGAUGUGUCCAGGCUCCAGGUUCAUCCUAAUUGUAACCCAGAGGUAUGGGGCCUGUGGUCACAUGAUCACCAGCCUGGUAACGCUUGGCGGCACCUUGCCCUGGGUCUGAAAUGGAGUGGAUGGUGUCACUGAAUUGCCUGAUGCUUGCACCGGUUCAGUGUGGUGGUCCCCAGGACUGCAGAGGCCGAGCAAGUCUCCAUACUGGAUGUGCGGUCUGCCAUCCGUGAAGCCCAGGAGCCUAGAUGCACUGCAUGGAGAAUUACGGGGGGCCCAGUUCUUGGAGGACCUGUUACUGCAAAGUGUGAUCUGAAGGCACCUGGUUGGCGCAGGAGGAGCGGACUGAUAUGUAGUAUUGUGGGAAGAUGCAGUAAAACCUGUAAUUUCUAUCUGCAGCCCUGUGAAUACCCCUCCAGUACAGGGGAGGUGUGAUCAGAUAUCUCUGCACACUAAAGGCUGUAUGAGACCAGCCGAGGGUCAGAUAGGUCGUCCCUAAUUAGUGUUUGUAGGAAUGCUCGUUAGCAAUUAUCUGGCUGUGUAAGGGCGCUUUCUCACGUGACAUUUUGUGGCCGAAAAUUCCACUACUGAAAAGCGGUUCUCUUCACCUUAAUAGGGCUUGCAGUGAUCCAUGUGCUUGCUGCCCAAUUCAAAUAUAUGGAACAGAUUUUUCAGUUGCAGAAUUUUCUGCCACAUGUGAAGGUGCCCUAAUACAGCCCUAAGUGUCGCUGAUUACCCGAUG
This is a long non-coding RNA of Bufo bufo (common toad), 966 nucleotides long. RefSeq lists it as uncharacterized. The transcript is spliced from 6 exons. NCBI's taxonomy places the organism in Eukaryota, Metazoa, Chordata, Amphibia, Anura, Bufonidae. The record is from RefSeq and is a predicted model, not a curated record.